This is a long non-coding RNA of Sphaeramia orbicularis (orbiculate cardinalfish), 746 nucleotides long. RefSeq lists it as uncharacterized. NCBI's taxonomy places the organism in Eukaryota, Metazoa, Chordata, Actinopteri, Kurtiformes, Apogonidae. The record is from RefSeq and is a predicted model, not a curated record. The transcript has 2 exons.
UAUUAUAUGAACAUCAUUUUAUUUAUUUUGUUAUGUGUUAUUUCACUUGACUCACCAGUGUCAUCAGGUCAGUGAAUAAGGACAUGAAGGCUGGGUUUCCUGAUAAGGACUCCUUUUUAAACUAGGUUCAAUCAUAUUUGAUCAAUAACAGUUAAUGCUCUGCCAUAUAGUGUGAGACAAAUUCCAUUUUGAUAAAGCAUUCAUAUUAGCUAUUAAGUUUCAGUGUCGAUCAAGAAACUUUACAGACAUUAGUUUUUAACUGUGCAGGGCUUUUUGGAAUUUUAAGUGUGGAUUUUCUCAUUUUAAACCUAGUUUUCUAAGCUCUUUCUAAGUCUUUAAAUAUGUUCACACUGCAGGCUCAUCUGUGAACUCAGAUCUGUUUUUUUCAUGACAGUAUUGAUAGUACAAAUUACAAGUACAAAUAUGAUCUUUUCAAUUCUGAUCUGGUCCACUUCCAUACAGCAUACGUGGUCCUUAAUCGGAUACAGAGCUGAUCUUUUUCCACGUGACCUCAGUCUGAACAGUCAGAUCAGAAUUUGUACGACUUUUGUAUUACUUAAAGUGGACAUUCAACACAAUUCUGCACUGGAGAGAGUCACAUGAAUCCAAAACAUAAAGCACUGACAGGUACCUUUUAACUAUUUUUACUGUGUAUAUGAACAGUUUUACUGAAGGGAAUGAUCCGAACACUUCUAACUCCACUGGUUUUGUGCAGGUUUACACUGGGAUCUGAAAUGGGCCACAUU